Molecule: ribosomal RNA, 497 nt
Filed under: uncultured bacterium
Lineage: Bacteria
Description: partial 16S ribosomal RNA
Rfam family: Bacterial small subunit ribosomal RNA
Source: RNAcentral
GAUGAACGCUGGCGGCGUGCCUAAUACAUGCAAGUCGAGCGAACGGACGAGAAGCUUGCUUCUCUGAUGUUAGCGGCGGACGGGUGAGUAACACGUGGAUAACCUACCUAUAAGACUGGGAUAACUUCGGGAAACCGGAGCUAAUACCGGAUAAUAUUUUGAACCGCAUGGUUCAAAAGUAAAAGACGGUCUUGCUGUCACUUAUAGAUGGAUCCGCGCUGCAUUAGCUAGUUGGUAAGGUAACGGCUUACCAAGGUAACGAUGCAUAGCCGACCUGAGAGGGUGAUCGGCCACACUGGAACUGAGACACGGUCCAGACUCCUACGGGAGGCAGCAGUAGGGAAUCUUCCGCAAUGGGCGAAAGCCUGACGGAACAACGCCGCGUGAGUGAUGAAGGUCUUCGGAUCGUAAAACUCUGUUAUUAGGGAAGAACAUAUGUGUAAGUAACUGUGCACAUCUUGACGGUACCUAAUCAGAAAGCCACGGCUAACUACGUG